This 446-nucleotide ribosomal RNA is filed under the name uncultured bacterium. Its description in RNAcentral is "partial 16S ribosomal RNA". It matches the Rfam family "Bacterial small subunit ribosomal RNA", at positions 338 to 795 of the family's 1533-position model. The record is from RNAcentral.
CCUACGGGUGGCAGCAGUCGAGAAUCAUUCACAAUGGGGGAAACCCUGAUGGUGCGACGCCGCGUGGGGGAAUGAAGUUCUUCGGAUUGUAAACCCCUUUCAUGUGGGAGCAAAUUAAAAGGAUAGUACCACAAGAGGAAGAGACGGCUAACUCUGUGCCAGCAGCCGCGGUAAUACAGAGGUCUCAAGCGUUGUUCGGAAUCACUGGGCGUAAAGGGUGCGUAGGCUGUUUCGUAAGUCGUGUGUGAAAGGCGCGGGCUCAACCCGCGGACGGCCCAUGAUACUGCUAGACUAGAGUGAUGGAGAGGGAAGCGGAAUUCUAGGUGUAGCAGUGAAAUGCGUAGAUAUCGAGCGGAACACUCGUGGCGAAGGCGGGUUGCUGGACAUUAACUGACGCUGAGGCACGAAGGCCAGGGGAGCGAAAGGGAUUAGAUACCCCAGUAGUC